This 266-nucleotide long non-coding RNA is filed under the name Mytilus galloprovincialis (Mediterranean mussel). The record is from RNAcentral. Lineage: Eukaryota; Metazoa; Mollusca; Bivalvia; Mytilida; Mytilidae.
GCAUCCAUGCUUAAAUUCGCAUCGUCAAAAGUCGAAUAACAGAGCUUUUGUUUAAUUUUUUUCAAAUAUUUUGAACAAUUGAAUAUUUGUCCAUACUAACUCUUCAUUUGUUAAGAAAUGGAUACUUGAAACAUAUUGUAUUUGCUAAUUUUAAAAAGAUGACGUUUUGAUGACGUCGCAUGGCGACGUUUCGGUACAUUUUGCUUUUUCAGUAAACACUUCAUCUGUUGAUAAAUACUGUGAACGUUUUGUGUAUAUCUAAAUAU